AUGCAAGUAGAACGCUGAAGGAGGAGCUUGCUCUCUCCGGAUGAGUUGCGAACGGGUGAGUAACGCGUAGGUAACCUGCCUGGUAGCGGGGGAUAACUAUUGGAAACGAUAGCUAAUACCGCAUAACAGUAGAUGUUGCAUGACAUUUGCUUAAAAGGUGCAAUUGCAUCACUACCAGAUGGACCUGCGUUGUAUUAGCUAGUUGGUGGGGUAACGGCUCACCAAGGCGACGAUACAUAGCCGACCUGAGAGGGUGAUCGGCCACACUGGGACUGAGACACGGCCCAAACUCCUACGGGAGGCAGCAGUAGGGAAUCUUCGGCAAUGGACGGAAGUCUGACCGAGCAACGCCGCGUGAGUGAAGAAGGUUUUCGGAUCGUAAAGCUCUGUUGUAAGAGAAGAACGAGUGUGAGAGUGGAAAGUUCACACUGUGACGGUAUCUUACCAGAAAGGGACGGCUAACUACGUGCCAGCAGCCGCGGUAAUACGUAGGUCCCGAGCGUUGUCCGGAUUUAUUGGGCGUAAAGCGAGCGCAGGCGGUUAGAUAAGUCUGAAGUUAAAGGCUGUGGCUUAACCAUAGUACGCUUUGGAAACUGUUUAACUUGAGUGCAAGAGGGGAGAGUGGAAUUCCAUGUGUAGCGGUGAAAUGCGUAGAUAUAUGGAGGAACACCGGUGGCGAAAGCGGCUCUCUGGCUUGUAACUGACGCUGAGGCUCGAAAGCGUGGGGAGCAAACAGGAUUAGAUACCCUGGUAGUCCACGCCGUAAACGAUGAGUGCUAGGUGUUAGACCCUUUCCGGGGUUUAGUGCCGUAGCUAACGCAUUAAGCACUCCGCCUGGGGAGUACGACCGCAAGGUUGAAACUCAAAGGAAUUGACGGGGGCCCGCACAAGCGG
This 894-nucleotide ribosomal RNA is filed under the name uncultured bacterium. Its description in RNAcentral is "bacterial SSU rRNA". It matches the Rfam family "Bacterial small subunit ribosomal RNA", at positions 55 to 932 of the family's 1533-position model. The record is from RNAcentral.